CAGCUUUCAUCUUUCAAGUGAAAACCCAGCUGCAAAACCAAGCAGAUCACACAUUCCUGUGAAAAGUAUUGCUUCUCUUUCUGUAAAGAUGCCAAAAUACAAGGUGGCUCAUCGAAAGAGGGCUUCAGCGAUGUCAGAGUCUUCACCCAAAGUACCCGAUGAAGUAAGGGAACGCUAUGUCAACCUCUUCAUUGAGAAGUAUUUGAAAGUUUGUAGAACAGAGGAGGAGGCUCUUAACAAGGCUAAAACAGAAGAAAAGGCCAUAUAUGAAAGGUGUGGCAGUAGAAAUAUGUAUAUGAACAUAGCAG
Long non-coding RNA from Lemur catta (Ring-tailed lemur), 308 nucleotides. RefSeq lists it as uncharacterized. The record is from RefSeq and is a predicted model, not a curated record. NCBI's taxonomy places the organism in Eukaryota, Metazoa, Chordata, Mammalia, Primates, Lemuridae. The transcript has 3 exons.